Molecule: non-coding RNA, 45 nt
Organism: Schistosoma margrebowiei
Lineage: Eukaryota; Metazoa; Platyhelminthes; Trematoda; Strigeidida; Schistosomatidae
Source: Rfam
AUUAAUAUGAUGAGUCCGACAUAGAACGAAACGCGCGUCCUGGAU